UAGGGCUAAGGUUUGGGCCAGGGUGAGAGUAUAUGCCUGGUAUCCUACAAUUUAGAGAACUCUCCAGAGGGCUCGAUUUAGCGUUAGUUCAAACAACCAUUUUAAAAGAAUUCAACUGCUUUAGAUAUUUUUGUACUCCUUCCAGCUAAAAGUCAGUCAUAGGACUGGCAGAAUCAAAAGGGGCAGAAAGAAAGCAAAGACACAAGUCAGAAGGUAUUACUGAGUAAUGAAGUCAUCACCAAGACCAAAUAGGUCAGCUUAAUUCCCUCCCCUUGAAUGUGGGCUGGGCUUAGUGACUGGUUCCUGAUGAACAGACUAAGGCAGAAGUGAUGGUGUGUACUGUAGACCUGGUCAUACACAGCACUGUGGCUUUCUCCUUGUCCUCUGCCCGAUCAGCCAUUCUGAGGGAAGUCAGCUGCCUUGUCAUGAGGGCAUUCAAGGAGCCCUAUGGAACAGUGUAUGUGGUGGGGAAUUGAGGUACUCCAGACAACAGCCAUGUGAGUGAGCCACCUUGAAAGUGGCUCAAUCCAGCCCAGUCAAGCAGAUGACUGCAUCCCUGGUCAACAUCUUGACGGCAGCCUCAUGUGAGCCCCUGAGCUAGAACCACUCAGCAAAACCGCUCCUGGAUUCCUGACCUGCAUGAAAUAAUAAAUGUUUGUUGUCCUAA
This is a long non-coding RNA of Felis catus (domestic cat), 667 nucleotides long. RefSeq lists it as uncharacterized. The transcript has 2 exons. Lineage: Eukaryota; Metazoa; Chordata; Mammalia; Carnivora; Felidae. The record is from RefSeq and is a predicted model, not a curated record.